Molecule: transfer RNA, 80 nt
Organism: Ipomoea nil (Japanese morning glory)
Lineage: Eukaryota; Viridiplantae; Streptophyta; Magnoliopsida; Solanales; Convolvulaceae
Rfam family: tRNA
About the family: Transfer RNA (tRNA) molecules are approximately 80 nucleotides in length. Their secondary structure includes four short double-helical elements and three loops (D, anti-codon, and T loops).
Source: Rfam
GACGGUUUGGCCGAGUGGUCUAAGGCGCCAGAUUUAGGCUCUGGUCUGAAAGGGCGUGGGUUCAAAUCCCACAGCCAUCA